UCUGAGAGCUGCGGGCUGGUUGGAUUUGCCCGAGUGUUGUCCCUUGCCGUUUUAUUAAGAAGCUGCUUUCCCGUUAUUGGCGAUUCUGCUUCUUCCGCUUUCCUCCUGCCUCUUGGUGGGGAUUUAGGUUCCGGCUCGUGGAAAAUAGUCGUGGCCUGGAUUUCAGGGCCCCUGGCACCUCGCACUGAGCUCUCCAGGAAUUAAAAAGCAUAAUGUUUUCCGUGGCAAUGCGAUGUCUUCUGUUCCUCACACCAAACUUCAUGAAAGCCCCAAGCUGGUCUGGUCUUCAGUGUCUGCCCUGAGGGUAAUCAUCAUGAGGGGACCACAAGCAGGAUCACAGAAAAAGAAUAGAGAUGCAAAGUAGUCUGUCCUGAACCUAAACCAACAGGAGGGGGACAGGAGCUGUUUGGGAAGCCAGUGACAGACGUUCAGAAGCCUUCUGUGCAUAGGAAGAAGCAAAAAGCAGCUUAAUGAAUUAGAGAUGAUUGGAGGUGGUUGAUAAGGACCGAGUCCAAAGGGCCAGUACUUAAGUGGCUGAAUAGUGAGGUUACAAGCAGUCAUUAUUAAGGGGAGGCAUCGGUUUGGAGUAUGCUGAGUCUGAGAUGACGGUCAGAGAUCCAAAGGAAGAGGUCAACUCAGGUUUUGGAUAUAAAGGUUCAGGGGAGAGGACACAGGACUCACGGGGGAACUCAAGGCUGGAGACACACGUGUGGGAGUCCUCCGUGCAGAGAUGCCAUCUGAAGCCAUGACCUAGCUGAGGGCACCAACAGAGGGGUGUAGACAGAUAAGUAAAGGGAAGGAGGGGCACCUGGGUGGCUCAGUCGGUUAAGCGUCCGACUUCAGCUCACGUCAUUAUCUCACGG
Molecule: long non-coding RNA, 863 nt
Organism: Herpailurus yagouaroundi (jaguarundi)
Lineage: Eukaryota; Metazoa; Chordata; Mammalia; Carnivora; Felidae
Exons: 6
Source: RefSeq, a predicted model, not a curated record